This 253-nucleotide ribosomal RNA is filed under the name uncultured bacterium. RNAcentral's name for it is "partial 16S ribosomal RNA". It matches the Rfam family "Bacterial small subunit ribosomal RNA", at positions 524 to 776 of the family's 1533-position model. The record is from RNAcentral.
UACGUAGGGGGCAAGCGUUGUCCGGAAUCAUUGGGCGUAAAGAGCGCGUAGGCGGUCCGGUAAGUCCGCUCUGAAAGUCCGGGGCUCAACCCCGGGAGGCGGGCGGAUACUGUCGGGCUAGAGUCCGGAAGAGGCGAGUGGAAUUCCUGGUGUAGCGGUGAAAUGCGCAGAUAUCAGGAGGAACACCAAUGGCGAAGGCAGCUCGCUGGGACGGUACUGACGCUGAGGCGCGAAAGCGUGGAGAGCAAACAGG